UUAACGGCCGCAGAAACCUAACUGUGCUAAGGUAGCGUAAUUCCUUGCCUUAUAAUUGAAGGCCAGUGAACGGUUACACGAGAAUUAAUCUGUCUCUAAUAAUUAUAAUAAAAAUUACUCCUUAAGUGAAAAAUCUUAAAUACCAAUGAAAGACGAGAAGACCCUACAGAGUUUAACUGCACAACCACACCCAAAAAAAUCCACGAUAUGUAUCUCACAGUUUAAUUGGGGCAAUCCGGGAGCAAACCAAACCUCCCCCGCUUACAAACCGGCUAGUACUUCGACCUACACAAAUAACUUACGAAAAAACUACCUUAGGGAUAACAGCAUAAUAUUAUUGAAAAGUACACAUUAAUAAUAAUGAUUAUGACCUCGAUGUUGGAUUAGGAUAACCACAAGAUGCAGGCGUCUUUUACAGUAGGCCUGUUCGGCCUUAAAAAUCCUAC
This 446-nucleotide ribosomal RNA is filed under the name Chevroderma sp. A NTM-2018. Its description in RNAcentral is "partial 16S ribosomal RNA". It matches the Rfam family "Bacterial large subunit ribosomal RNA", at positions 1924 to 2599 of the family's 2925-position model. Lineage: Eukaryota; Metazoa; Mollusca; Caudofoveata; Chaetodermatida; Prochaetodermatidae. The record is from RNAcentral.